GAUGAAGAACGCAGCGAAAUGCGAUACGUAAUGUGAAUUGCAGAAUUCAGUGAAUCAUCGAAUCUUUGAACGCACAUUGCGCCUGCCAGCACUCUGGCAGGCAUGCCUGUUCGAGCGUCAUUUCAACCAUCAAGCCCUAGGCUUGCGUUGGAGCCCUGCGGCUGCCGCAGGCCCCUAAAAGCAGUGGCGGGCUCGCUAUCACACCGAGUGCAGUAGAUUACUCUUCGCUCAGGGCGUGUGGCGGGCUCCAGCCGUGAAACCCCCUACUUCUCAAGGUUGACCUCGGAUCAGGUAGGAAUACCCGCUGAACUUAAGCAUAUCAAUAAGCGGAGGA
This 334-nucleotide unclassified non-coding RNA is filed under the name soil metagenome. RNAcentral describes it as "partial contains 5.8S ribosomal RNA, internal transcribed spacer 2, and large subunit ribosomal RNA". The stretch from base 1 to 120 matches the Rfam family "5.8S ribosomal RNA", at positions 35 to 154 of the family's 154-position model. The record is from RNAcentral.